UUUGAAGUUCCGCCUGAUUUAGGUUUUAUGUGUGACGGAUUUUAGUUUAUGGUUUUGUCUCAGGGUCUGGAGACUAUCGUGCUGAUAACGUGUUGUAAAAGAAGGGUUUGAGACUGAAUAUUUCGUGUGUGUUAUUAAUGAACAAAGGGGGUUCCUUAUAUAAGGAUUACAAGAUAGAGAUAAAUGGAAAGAGUACUUAUCCUAAUCCUACAUGAAAUAGGAAAUCUACUAAAUACAUAAAAGGAAAGAUAACAUCUACAAGGAAAAGGAAAAAGGUUUUCCUUUUUCUCCAAGUCUUGUGGUCGCCUCUCUCCUCCUGAAGUCGGCUCUCUCUCUCUCUCUCCUGGGCCUGGUCAUGGCCAUUCUUCUUUCUUCUUGUCUUGGUUAAUGGCAAUCCACACAUGGUUUAAUGGAUGGGUCGCCCGGUUUUUCGGUGAUGGCCGGGUCGUCCACAUGUUUUAUUAAGUGCUCAAAGCAAGAUUUUGUUCAUUAGCAUGGGAUAACAUCAUAGAUUUCGAUCCUAUUAAUCGAUCGGAGUAAUGAGGGGACAGUCGGGGCAUUCAGUAUUUUAAAGGUGAAAUUUUGGAUUUAUGAAAGGGCACAUUUGCCAAGGAUGUUUUCAUUAAUCAAGAACGAAAGUUGGGGGCUCAAGACGAUCAGAUACCGUCCCUAGUCUCAACCAUAAACGAUGCCGACCAGGGAUCAGCGGAUGUUGCUUUUAGGACUCGCUGGCACCUUAUGAGAAAUCAAAGUUUUUGGGUUCCGGGGAGUAUGGUCGCAAGGCUGAAACUUAAAGGAAUUGACGGAAGGGCACCACCACCAGGAGUGGAGCCUGCGGCUUAAUUUGACUCAACACGGGAAACUUACCAGGUCCAGACAUAGUAAGGAUUGACAGACUGAGAGCUCUUUCUUGAUUCUAUGGGUGGUGGUGCAUGGCCGUUCUUAGUUGGUGGAGCGAUUUGUCUGGUUAAUUCCGUUAACGAACGAGACCUCAGCCUGCUAACUAGCUACGUGGAGGCAUCCCUUCACGGCCGGCUUCUUAGAGGGACUAUGGCCGUUUAGGCCAAGGAAGUUUGAGGCAAUAACAGGUCUGUGAUGCCCUUAGAUGUUCUGGGUCGCGACGCGCGCUACACUGAUGUAUUCAACGAAGUUCACACCUUGGCCGACAGGCCCGGUAAUCUUUGAAAUUUCAUCGUGAUGGGGAUAGAUCAUUGCAAUUGUUGGUCUUCAACGAGGAAUUUCUAGUAAGCGAGUCAUCAGCUCGCGUUGACUACGCCCCCGCCCUUUGUACACACCGCCCGCCGCUUCCUACCGAUUGAAUGAUCCGUGAAGUGUUCGGAUCGCGGCGGCGUGGGUGGUGGUUCGCCGUCUGCGCGACGUCGCGAGAAGUCCACUAAACCUUAUCAUUUAGAGGAAGGAGAAGUCAGAACAAGGUUUCCGUAGGUGAACCUGCGGAAG
This 1458-nucleotide ribosomal RNA is filed under the name Brassica rapa (field mustard). Its description in RNAcentral is "SSU rRNA". It matches the Rfam family "Eukaryotic small subunit ribosomal RNA", at positions 627 to 1823 of the family's 1831-position model. The record is from RNAcentral. Lineage: Eukaryota; Viridiplantae; Streptophyta; Magnoliopsida; Brassicales; Brassicaceae.